RNAcentral lists this long non-coding RNA (255 nucleotides) under Ananas comosus (pineapple). RNAcentral describes it as "long non-coding RNA (ACOM_LNC019327)". Lineage: Eukaryota; Viridiplantae; Streptophyta; Magnoliopsida; Poales; Bromeliaceae. The record is from RNAcentral.
GAACAUUUUCUAAUACUUAAGUUAUCGACUGUUACCGACCGUCCCUAGAGCAACUGAAAAAGGGUUUGAUGGUUGGUAUCCGAGACCCAAGUUCGAAUCCUAACUGAUUCACGUUUUCAGCUAAAUUUAUUUCUAAAUGAAAUAAACGAAGCGGGUAGCAUGCUAUCUAUCUCUCAAAGAAAAAUGUUAUCGACUGUUUGUUCGCCCGCAAUUGAUUUUAAAAUUUUUGAGAUCAAAUUAACUUUUAGUUGAACU